Molecule: ribosomal RNA, 253 nt
Filed under: uncultured bacterium
Lineage: Bacteria
Description: partial 16S ribosomal RNA
Rfam family: Bacterial small subunit ribosomal RNA
Source: RNAcentral
UACGUAGGGUGCGAGCGUUAAUCGGAAUUACUGGGCGUAAAGCGUGCGCAGGCGGUUCGUUAAGUUCGUUGUGAAAGCCCCGGGCUCAACCUGGGAAUGGCAAUGGAAACUGGCGAGCUUGAGUGUGGCAGAGGGGGGUGGAAUUCCGCGUGUAGCAGUGAAAUGCGUAGAGAUGCGGAGGAACACCGAUGGCGAAGGCAGCCCCCUGGGCCAAUACUGACGCUCAUGCACGAAAGCGUGGGGAGCAAACAGG